Molecule: non-coding RNA, 490 nt
Organism: Corylus avellana
Lineage: Eukaryota; Viridiplantae; Streptophyta; Magnoliopsida; Fagales; Betulaceae
Source: RefSeq, a predicted model, not a curated record
CUCCCUUUCUUCUCUCCUUUCUCUUCACGCACACACACAUGGCCGAGAGAGAGAGAGAGAGAGAUUAUGAGAUUGAGAGAGGAAGAGAUGCAGACCGUGAUGAGAGAGAACAAGGAAGAGAGAGAGAGCUGCUGCCGAGAAGAAGAAGAAGGUGAUAAAACACAAGGGGAUUCCGGCCAUGGAGUUAGUGAGGUGUAUUGCGGUUGAGUCAAGAAUCCACCGAAGGGUACUCAAGCGAACAAGACAAUGUUGUGGAUGCAGGUACAGAGAUGGUAGAUGAGGAUCUUGUUGCCAUGUAUUUAAGCCACGAUGUUCGAGGUCUAGAUGCGUUGGAGGUUUACUUUGUUUUGUUGGACUAGUUGUUAGUCCUAUUUGUUAGAGCAUUUAUAUAUAUGCUUAGAUGUUGGUAUUUUGUCUAUGGCACGUGUCGCAUGUGACACUUUGUUUAGCCAUUCUUUUGUAUGUAAAGCUCUACUCACAUAGAUGUAUU